UGGGUACUGGGACAAGGACCCAGGCCCUACGGGGCGCAGCAGUCGCGAAAACUUUGCAAUAAGCGAAAGCUUGACAGGGCUAUCCCGAGUGCCAUCCGCUGAGGAAGGCUUUUACCCAGUCUAGUAAGCUGGGGGAAUAAGGAGAGGGCAAGUCUGGUGUCAGCCGCCGCGGUAAUACCAGCUCUCCGAGUGGUGUGGAUGUUUAUUGGGCCUAAAGCAUCCGUAGCUGGCUAAGUCAGUCCCUUGUUAAAUCCACCGAAUUAAUCGUUGGAUUGCGGGGGAUACUGCUUGGCUAGGGGACGAGAGAGGCAGACGGUAUUUUCGGGGUAGGGGUGAAAUCCUAUAAUCCCGGGAAGACCACCAGUGGCGAAGGCUGUCUGCUAGAACGC
RNAcentral lists this ribosomal RNA (389 nucleotides) under uncultured crenarchaeote. Its description in RNAcentral is "bacterial SSU rRNA". It matches the Rfam family "Archaeal small subunit ribosomal RNA", at positions 297 to 688 of the family's 1478-position model. Lineage: Archaea; Thermoproteati; Thermoproteota. The record is from RNAcentral.